RNAcentral lists this ribosomal RNA (460 nucleotides) under uncultured bacterium. RNAcentral describes it as "partial 16S ribosomal RNA". It matches the Rfam family "Bacterial small subunit ribosomal RNA", at positions 338 to 795 of the family's 1533-position model. The record is from RNAcentral.
CCUACGGGAGGCAGCAGUGAGGAAUAUUGGUCAAUGGACGAAAGUCUGAACCAGCCAUGCCGCGUGCAGGAUGACGGCUCUAUGAGUUGUAAACUGCUUUUGUACGAGGGUAAACCCCGAUACGUGUAUCGGGUUGAAAGUAUCGUACGAAUAAGGAUCGGCUAACUCCGUGCCAGCAGCCGCGGUAAUACGGAGGAUCCGAGCGUUAUCCGGAUUUAUUGGGUUUAAAGGGUGCGUAGGCGGUUGGAUAAGUUAGAGGUGAAAUGUCGGGGCUCAACCCCGGAACUGCCUUUAAUACUGUUGGACUAGAGAAUAGUAGAGGUAGGCGGAAUGUGUGGUGUAGCGGUGAAAUGCUUAGAGAUCAUACAGAACACCGAUUGCGAAGGCAGCUUACCAAACUAUAUCUGACGUUGAGGCACGAAAGCGUGGGUAGCGAACAGGAUUAGAUACCCCUGUAGUC